UCCUGGCUCAGAUUGAACGCUGGCGGCAUGCUUUACACAUGCAAGUCGAACGGCAGCGCGGGCUUCGGCCUGGCGGCGAGUGGCGAACGGGUGAGUAAUACAUCGGAACGUGCCCAGUAGUGGGGGAUAGCUCGGCGAAAGCCGGAUUAAUACCGCAUACGACCUGAGGGUGAAAGCGGGGGAUCUUCGGACCUCGCGCUAUUGGAGCGGCCGAUGGCAGAUUAGCUAGUUGGUGGGGUAAAGGCCUACCAAGGCGACGAUCUGUAGCUGGUCUGAGAGGACGACCAGCCACACUGGGACUGAGACACGGCCCAGACUCCUACGGGAGGCAGCAGUGGGGAAUUUUGGACAAUGGGCGAAAGCCUGAUCCAGCAAUGCCGCGUGAGGGAUGGAGGCCUUCGGGUUGUGAACCUCUUUCGCCAGUGAAGCAGGCCUGCCUCGUUUGUGGGUGGGUUGACGGUAGCUGGAUAAGAAGCGCCGGCUAACUAC
This 489-nucleotide ribosomal RNA is filed under the name uncultured bacterium. Its description in RNAcentral is "bacterial SSU rRNA". It matches the Rfam family "Bacterial small subunit ribosomal RNA", at positions 17 to 504 of the family's 1533-position model. The record is from RNAcentral.